GAGAAUUUAACACUCAUAGGGUGCUGGUAUGUUGAAAAUAAUAAAGCUUUAUUUCAGGCUGCUACUAUCAUCAUCCUUGUGAAGUAUGAGACAGCUAUAGCAUCAAAAACCUUAUAAUACACUUCUUUGUAUUGGGUGGUCCAUUACUAUGUGAAGAACUGAAUCCCACUGAUUUUGAUCAGCUGCAGUAUGCAUGAAGUAUUGGACUAUUGAGUAUGAGCAACAUCAGCAGAAUCUGAUCAGCAUCUGAAAACACACUAUGGCUAAAGAAAUUCAGCUCAGUGCACUCCUCUUCCCAGGCAAAGCUUUUGGAGAGGAUUCUGGAUAACAUAGAUUAUUUUAUGGGGUUGUAUGAUGUUGGGCUUUCCCCUUCCUCGCGUUCAGAGGGCAGAAGGAAGUUCAGUGAAUGCUGAACAUUACCAGCACAACCAAAGGAGAGCUCCAGAGAUCACAGGGCUGUGGUGUGAGCCUACAAACAGAGAUGUGUGCAGCUUCUUCAGAGGUGUUCCCAGGGCACAGUGCCAAAAGGCCCCCUCAAAGUGCCUCCUGGGGGGUCCAUGACAUCUGCUUGACGAGAUAGCUGCAGCACACAAGUAUCUGAUAUUUUUACGUUAUACAACUAGCCUCUGAUCCAGACUGGACAACGAGUUACCGCCCAUGAGUACCGGUCCGAUGGCCUCAGCCAUCCCCAUUGCUGCGCAGUGUAGGGGUCCUAAAGGCAAUUUGGGAUCCCACUCGGUGUCAGUGUCGGAGUCAUUUCUAUCCAUAACAGCUCAUAACUCUUUGCUGGGGGGGGGGGGGCUAAAUUCACACAAAGAGCACAUCUAAGAGAAACCUCACAUUUUGUAUAUAUAGUAUCCAGAAUUAGACCUGUAUACUACUUAGAAUUGUUGCUAGAUUACCCUUCAUUUUUUCUGUCUGACAGCUUUUCGAGAGCUUACGCUUUUGAAUGAACUUAUAUCUGUGGUGACCAGGCUACGGAGAAGUAUAUGUAAACUAACAAAAUUUUUUAAACUCAUUUUUGCAGUCCCAUUUCUAUUCCUGUUUAAUUUGCAGAUGCUAUUUUUCUGUUUCUUUGUAUGGAAGUCCCAUGGAAACAGGAUAUUGUCCCUAUCUUCUUUAUGUGUGGACUUUCUUUACAUAAUAGCUUUUCCGCUGAGAAAUAUGGCAGUAUUAAAAUUGUCUUUCAGAUUGCCAUACGCACCAAUAACUGUGGAGUCCUUCAGUUUGAGGUACACUGGAAUUAAGUACUCAUCUUUUGAGGUACACUUGAAUUAAGUACUCAUCUUUUGACUCCAGUACUCAUAUAUAAAACUGGCUUUCUGUUUUUUUUUUUUUUUUUUUUUUUUAAUGGAAUAAGAUAAGCACAUUCUUCACUGUCACCUCUGAAGAUUUGUUCACUAGUGAUCAAUGACAAUAUGCAGAAGAAAUUUAGGAAUUUAGUCUGAUUACUUGACAAUGUACAAAUCUAUCAAUAACAGCCUCUGAUACAAUUUUCAGAGUCACAGUUUUCAUCAAAGAUGACAGAAUAUGCUAUUUAGACUAUCAAGAGAUAGUGUUUUAAGCCAUGAUGGUUUGUGUAGUCCCUGUAUAUAAGGUCACGAAGUGACUCACACACAUGCAAAUGUCAGCAGACAGUUACUUGACUUUCUGAGUACAUUUCUUGUUGCUGUUUCCUGCUGUAAAUCUUGACAGGACAAGCUGUCUUUCAAAGUGCUCUUGGAGUGGGUUCAUUAACUCAACAUUCAACACAAUAUACUUGGGCAAUUCAUUUCAUUUUUCUGCUGCUGUGGUGUGGGGAGCGAGAUGACUUCUAAUUGCUGCCUCGCUAUAGGAAGGGGAAAGAGGAAUGCAUAGUGCUACCUCCUAAUCGGUGAUUUAAAAUAAUGCUACAGGAAGGGUGUGAUGUGAAAGCUCAUUUUUCUAGGGGCUAAUUUGUUUUUAGCAUUGCUAUACUAAUGGAGUGAAAGUUCUACUAGAGGUCCACUGGUUUGUCUGUUCUCUACAUCCUUGUCUCUUGCUCUAGUCUUUAGCAUUUCAGAGUCUCUUAACGUUUCCCCUUUCUCUGUUUCCCUUUCCCAGCUACUCUGAUCACUGAACUCAGGCAUCUUUACCACACAGACCUCUGGAAUUGGAAACUCAAAUUUGUUCUGAAAGUUACUAAAUAAAACAGAGCAUCGCAGCAUCUGAUAACUCAGGAAUGCUUUUAAUACAUCUGCCUAUUUCUAGACAAACAGAAGUGCACCGAUAUUCAGAAGAGGAAAGAGUAGUACACUAUGUUUAGCAAGCCUGACAGAUUAGUUUUCAAUAUUUUUCAGCUGUCACAGGAACACUUCAGGAUUAAAAGACACAUCUUGCUACAUUCUUUAUCUUCCACACUUGAAAGGGAAGAGAAGUGGAAGACGUAACUAACUUUGUCAUGCUGAAAGAAACCUUAGCAAAUAGAGAAUUACAACCAUUAAAAUCAAUAUCUUUGGUCUUUCUGAAGCACAUUCUUCUCCAUAGUGCAUGCCUCACAUAGCCUUUAGUGCAUUCAGAGAGGAGCGUAAAAGUGGUCUCUCUCAGGUUGGAAGUACAAACAGCUAUAGCUCUCGAAAGAAUGUGAAGUCACAUACUUAACUCUCUCUUCACUGUAACACCCUUUCUGAGACCCAUGCAUACCAUAGGAAGUGAUACAAUAGCAAGGUGUUGAUGAUUUACUUAAAGACAAUUGUGGGAAAGGUUUGUUCAUCUUAUGUUCAGAUGAAGUCUCCAACUAUAACAGAUCUUUUUUGUGGGCCAUAUAGUAUAUAAAGGGUCAGACUUUAAGUUGAGACUUUAAGUUUGAAGUUAUGGACAAAGAUCAAAUACAAAAACAUAUUGCAUUUAAAGUGUAAGGCUUUAGACUGAGAGCUUAAAAUGUGAAGUCCUCAAAACUGGACAUAUUUCAUGGCUCUGCUACAGAUUUCUUGAGUGAAGUUAGCAAGUCAUUUAAAUCAUUAUGUGUUACAGUGUUUUGAUCGUGAAAUAAGGAAAAUGACAACUGUUCAUCAGGAAUGUUGUAAUGAUAAAUAAUUCAUCAAAGCAUUUGAAAUCUCUAGAUGAAAGUUGUUAUAUAAAUGCAUAGUAUUAUUAUUGUUGUAAUUAGGUAAUUUAUUUACUCUCAGGAGAUACUACAAUCACAGUUUAGAUAGCAUUUGAUUUCUUAAGUCUUUAUUUGCAAUCUUUAUCUUGAUUAUCUUGGACCACAAACUUACAUAUCUGCCUUAAACCAAAAGUUGAAGGAAAGCCAUUCAGCUGUUAUCAGAAUAUUUUAAAAAAAGGUUUUCCUUCAGCUGUUAGAGAAAUUGAGCAGGAGAAGUAUUUGGCAUUUGGCUUCUAAUAUGCAUGUGCAGUAAUCCCGAUCAUGAACUACUGCUUUGUUAAAAAUAGUUUAAGAUCCAAAUUCAGUUAUCUACUUCAUAGAGAAGAACUAUUUUCUUCUUUCAUAAGAGGAUGGAAAAUGUCAUAAUAACACAUGCACACAUUUGGGUAACUAAAAAACAUUGGCAGCUCCUAUAGGAAUAUGUAUUAAAAACUUCAGGUAACAGUGAAAUAUAUACAGCACAAAUAAGACGUGCUUCUUAUAUGCACUGGAUACCAACCUACAGCUCUUGUGAGAAUCAGCAGGUCUGAAUCUUUACUGUACAACUGCUUUUCACCACCUCAUCUGUAGGUGUUGUUCCCAUAGAGUUUUUCCUAGGGGGUGAGUGUGUCUGAGUCUAUGGAUGUAGCAUCUUGGCAUUACACUGCUUUUGCUCCAACUGUCUGUACGCAGAAGGGAAGCGUGUUUAGAGCAGGGCUGUGAUUUAGCAUCUUUAAACGACACUUUUGCAGGCAGUGACAACUUUACCUCAUUCAUAACUCAUUCAUAAGUUCUGAGUUUGUUCUAGGUUGUAUCAGGGACCGAGUAUUCCUCCACUCAGCCUCAGCAAUGUAGAACUGAAAAAGGAGCACAUUAUUAUUUUUGCUCCCAAGCCCUUGUCUUUUCUCCAGAGUAGCUUAGCUGGACCAGAGAGUCUUGCUUCAUAAACUAUCAUCUACAAAUGCAGUAAGGAUGAUAUUCUCUGUGGAUAGAAACAAUUAACCCUAUCUAAGUUAUGGAGGUAUCUCUAAGUUACAUUUGUAUUUAGCUGACAGAGCUGAUUCGUAGUUUUUCGCCAUUUAUAUCAAAAAAAUUAAGCCAGUAGAGACUGUGUUGAAAAAAUAUUCCUCACUCUUGUUGUUGAUCUUAUGUUUUCAACUUGUUUUUAUUGAUCGAAGACAUUCAGACUAAUUUUGGUAUAGGUGAAAUCAGAAUCUGAUCCCAGGUGAUUAUUUUUGCGUGAAAAAGUUACUACAGGGAAAUUUAGUAUAGUUACUGCCCAAGAACUGCAGAGUCUGACUGCUGUAAAUGUGAUGGGAUUCACAUACCAAUGGGUGGAAUUUUGGCAGUAAAUUCUCAAACCGAAUUUGGGUGCAAGUCUAAAUCUCAGGUGUAUAGGCAAGGACAAAUAUGCUCCUUCAGCUCAUUUGUUUAAAAGGCUGGAGAUUUUUAAGUUAUGGUAUUUUUACUAUGAAUGCUCUAUCUUUUUGCUUAUAUUCACAAGUUGUUUCCACAUGACAAGCUAUAACAAUGUUAAUUUGCUCACUAUCCUGUGGUCUUUUGUUCACACGUCCUACCUGUACUCUGGUGCUUUGGCAGGUUUUUACAGAGCUUGGACCUUUGCAGCUGAAGGUCCUUCUUAGCAGUCAGGUUGAGUACUGACAUCGAUGUACACAGCUUUUCAGCUACGAGAGAUCAAGAACUGUCUCUUAGUUUGUGGAGAUGGAAGAAAGAAAAACAGCUCUGGCUCUUCUUUCCUCUUUUAACACGGGGAAAAGAACCAGCUAGCGCAUGUUAAAGAAAAUAAUGCAGAGAGUUUGAUACAAAUAUCUAUGGCAUAUUUAUCUUUCAGCAGCCUGGAACCAGUGAAGUUAAAAGGUCACGUUCUCCAUCCCAGGGCUCAGCAGCAGGCUCAGCGUGCGCCUCCUCACUAGUCUUCAGGCCUCCUGUAAGAGCACCUGCCUGGAGAAAGCUAGAUAAUCCAUUUCUACUCAUAGAAAUGCUCAUAACCUUCAGUAUCCUAUUUAGACCUCUUACAGGUUCAGUUCAAGAUAAAGACACAGUUACCUAAGGCCACAGACUGCCUGGGAUGACAAAAACAUCCAUGUACUCCCUGCUUGUUUUGCCUGUGUUUCAGCACCUGAAAAAACUGCUGGCACUGGAGCAUAGGAGAUCGCCGCUCCAAAGGGGCAAAGAGCCAUGAGGAGCAGUGUGAGUCCCUGUUCUCUACCGGCAACAUCUGAGGCAGAAGUCCUGGUGCUCUGGAGCUCUUUCACUGGCUCUCUGCUGAAAUUCUGCUUUCUUCUUCUCUUUUUCCUUUUCUCUUUCCUGUACCACCAGUGAACUUUCUCUUAUGCUUUUCUAUCUUUCAGGCAGCAGGAUUUUAUUUUGCCUCUGGUGAUGAGAAGCUUUGAAAUGGCUUUGACUUCAUCCCAGGAGAACCAGGAAAAUGAAAAAAGCAUAUGGGAAUAAAGCACAUUCAACUAACUAAACGUUAAGUCAAACUUAAGAAAAAAAAAACCCCAAAGGCAUAAUAUUUGUUAACCAAUUUGGUUGUGCAUUUAUCUUACAGGAUUUUAACACUACUAGAUUUCAUAAAAGGCAGCCUUAGUACAUUUGCUCAUCGCAAUUAAAAAAUAAAUUGUAUAAUUUCAUCUUUUGAAUAGUGCAGCAAGUAAUUUUGUGUAUUAUAUAAUGCUCUAAUGUCAAUCAAAAUGACCACAAAUAGCUCUCUUUAAAGAAGACAUGUGCUUUAAUAAUAAAUUACUUGUUGGCAUUUCUUACAGCAGCUUUGGAGGUAUAUUUUAAGUAGUGUAAAGUUAUGUUCUGAUAUGUCUUCAAGACACUUUUUUUUUCUUGCCGAUGUUUUAUAUUACGGAAAUGAAAAAGAACUGACAGGUAUUGUGUAUGUAAUUAUAGUUAAUUUUUUAACAUCAAAAACUUCUCUGUGAUCUUAAAAGCUUUUAAUUUGUUCAUAGGCACAGGUUUGUACAAGCCCUGUGCAAUGUCUGUAUGCAGUUUUAACAGAUAGGUAUAGUGGUAACUCACUCUCCAUCCAAAAUAGUUUAAUUAGAUUUGAGAAGUGGGUUAAACUGUUAUAUAUCUUUGACAUUUGUAAACACCAUCGCAGAUGUUCAUACUUUGAACUGGUAAUGCAAGGUGCUAUGGCUUUCAUGUAAAAAAUGCUGCAUCCCCAAAUCCUGCUGAGAUUGAUGGGUUUUGAGGUGCUCAGCAUCUCUAAGGAAACACUUUGUUGAAUUGAGCUCAGACUAAAUGGAAUAAAUUUCUUUCUUAAAUUUUUUAAAUCAGUGGCAAAUCUCCCAUGCACUUUAGUGGACUUACGACUUCUGGGUCCUCAAUGCUCAAAUAUGAAGCUGAUAGUUCAAUGAUAGUAGAGAUCAAGAAAAUAAAAAAAACAUAAUUUUGUAGACCCUUUUUCCCAAAUACACAUUCUCCACUGCUCCAACAUGCACUGACGAUAUCAAAGAUACCCCUUUUCAGAAGAAGUUUUUGAUUAAAAAGACCUAAUCUCUGUUACUAAGAACAUAGUAUAUAUCAUCACAGCUGAAAUAAAUUGUGCUGUUUGCAUUUUGCCA
Molecule: long non-coding RNA, 6699 nt
Organism: Rhea pennata
Lineage: Eukaryota; Metazoa; Chordata; Aves; Rheiformes; Rheidae
Exons: 3
Source: RefSeq, a predicted model, not a curated record